Molecule: ribosomal RNA, 486 nt
Filed under: uncultured bacterium
Lineage: Bacteria
Description: bacterial SSU rRNA
Rfam family: Bacterial small subunit ribosomal RNA
Source: RNAcentral
GACGAACGCUGGCGGCGUGGAUUAGGCAUGCAAGUCGAACGGUAUCAUCCUUCGGGGGUGAGAGAGUGGCGAACUGGUGAGUAACACGUAGGUUAUCUACCCUCAAGACGGGGACAACCCAGGGAAACUUGGGCUAAUACCGGAUGUGAGCAACUUUUAGUUGUUUGAAAGGUGGCGUAAGCUGUCGCUUGGGGAUGAGCCUGCGUCCUAUUAGUUAGUUGGUGAGGUAACGGCUCACCUAGGCAAUGAUAGGUAGGCGGCCUUAACGGGUGGUCGCCCACACUGGGAUUGAGAUACGGCCCAGACUCCUACGGGAGGCAGCAGUCGAGAAUAGUCUACAAUGGUCGGAAGACUGAUAGUGCGACGCCGCGUGAACGAUGAAUCCCUUCGGGGUGUAAAGUUCUUUUAUAUGUGAGCAGUGCUUCUUAUAUUAACAGUAUGGGGAGAGAGAUAUUAGCAUAUGAAUAAGCAACGGCUAACUCCGUG